UUCAAUUCAAAGUAAAAAUUAGGGAACAUAAUUUUUUAGAAAACCCAAUUCACCCCCCCUCUUGGGUUGUCAUCUUGGGCAACAAGUGGUAUCAGAGCAGGUGCUCUUCUAUUAAUUAUAGUCUUAACCGACUAGAGCUAAAGAUUAUGACAACCCCACAUAACAUAUUAUUUGCCGAGGGACUUUCCAUAAACAGACCUCCACUGUUUGAUGGAACUUACUAUAUUCAAUGGAAAGCUAGAAUGAAAAUUUUUGUUCAAUCACAAA
Molecule: long non-coding RNA, 267 nt
Filed under: Phoenix dactylifera (date palm)
Lineage: Eukaryota; Viridiplantae; Streptophyta; Magnoliopsida; Arecales; Arecaceae
Description: long non-coding RNA (PDAC_LNC011244)
Source: RNAcentral